This 301-nucleotide ribosomal RNA is filed under the name uncultured bacterium. Its description in RNAcentral is "partial 16S ribosomal RNA". It matches the Rfam family "Bacterial small subunit ribosomal RNA", at positions 509 to 807 of the family's 1533-position model. The record is from RNAcentral.
CAGUAGCCGCGGUAAUACGAAGGGUGCAAGCGUUAAUCGGAAUUACUGGGCGUAAAGCGUGCGUAGGCGGUUUGUUAAGUCUGUUGUGAAAUCCCCGGGCUCAACCUGGGAAUGGCAAUGGAUACUGGCUCGCUAGAGUGUGUCAGAGGAUGGUGGAAUUCCCGGUGUAGCGGUGAAAUGCGUAGAGAUCGGGAGGAACAUCAGUGGCGAAGGCGGCCAUCUGGGACAACACUGACGCUGAGGCACGAAAGCGUGGGGAGCAAACAGGAUUAGAUACCCCCGUAGUCCCUGUCUCUUAUAC